AACGAACGCUGGCGGCAUGCCUAACACAUGCAAGUCGAACGAGACCUUCGGGUCUAGUGGCGCACGGGUGCGUACCGCGUGGGAACCUGCCCUUAGGUUCGGAAUAACUCCCCGAAAGGGGUGCUAAUACCGGAUAAUGUCUUCGGACCAAAGAUUUAUCGCCUUGGGAUGGGCCCGCGUUGGAUUAGCUAGUUGGUAGGGUAAAAGCCUACCAAGGCGACGAUCCAUAGCUGGUCGGAGAGGAUGACCAGCCACACUGGGACUGAGACACGGCCCAGACUGCGACGGGAGGCAGCAGUGGGGAAUAUUGGAGAAUGGGGGAAAGCCUGAUCCAGCAAUGCCGCGGGAGUGAUGAAGGCCGUAGGGUUGUAAAGCUCUUUUACCCGGGAUGAUAAUGACAGUACCGGGAGAAUAAGCACCGGCUAACUCCGUG
This 433-nucleotide ribosomal RNA is filed under the name uncultured bacterium. RNAcentral's name for it is "partial 16S ribosomal RNA". It matches the Rfam family "Bacterial small subunit ribosomal RNA", at positions 29 to 507 of the family's 1533-position model. The record is from RNAcentral.